Molecule: ribosomal RNA, 448 nt
Filed under: uncultured bacterium
Lineage: Bacteria
Description: bacterial SSU rRNA
Rfam family: Bacterial small subunit ribosomal RNA
Source: RNAcentral
ACCAGACUCCUACGGGAGGCAGCAGUGGGGAAUAUUGCACAAUGGGGGGAACCCUGAUGCAGCGACGCCGCGUGGGUGAAGGAGUAUUUCGGUAUGUAAAGCUCUAUCAGCGGGGAAGAAGAAAGACGGUACCUGACUAAGAAGCCCCGGCUAACUACGUGCCAGCAGCCGCGGUAAUACGUAGGGGGCAAGCGUUAUCCGGAUUUACUGGGUGUAAAGGGAGCGUAGACGGCAGUGCAAGUCUGGAGUGAAAGGCGGGGGCUCAACCCCCGGACUGCUCUGGAAACUGUACGGCUGGAGUGCAGGAGAGGUAAGUGGAAUUCCUAGUGUAGCGGUGAAAUGCGUAGAUAUUAGGAGGAACACCGGUGGCGAAGGCGGCCUGCUGGACUGCGACUGACGUUGAGGCCCGAAAGCGUGGGGAGCAAACAGGAUUAGAUACCCCUGUAUG